CUUUAAUUACCCCGUCUUGAAACACGGACCAAGGAGUCUAACAUAUGCGCGAGUCUUAGGGUGUCAAACCACUGAGGCGGAAUGAAAGUGAAAGGUGAGACUGGAAUUCAACCGCCAGGCAUCAUCGACCGAUCUGGAUAUUCUUUGAAAGAUUUGAGUUAGAGCGUAUCUGUUGGGACCCGAAAGAUGGUGAACUAUGCCUGAAUAGGGUGAAGUCAGAGGAAACUCUGAUGGAAGCUUGUAGCGGUUCUGACGUGCAAAUCGAUCGUCAAAUUUGGGUAU
This 282-nucleotide ribosomal RNA is filed under the name Oxyrrhis marina. Its description in RNAcentral is "partial Eukaryotic large subunit ribosomal RNA". It matches the Rfam family "Eukaryotic large subunit ribosomal RNA", at positions 638 to 918 of the family's 3401-position model. The record is from RNAcentral. Lineage: Eukaryota; Dinophyceae; Oxyrrhinales; Oxyrrhinaceae.